Molecule: long non-coding RNA, 999 nt
Filed under: Falco tinnunculus (common kestrel)
Lineage: Eukaryota; Metazoa; Chordata; Aves; Falconiformes; Falconidae
Description: lncRNA (ENSFTIG00000011330.1)
Source: RNAcentral
UGCGCUGGUUAGGUUCCCGCUCAGGCGCCCGUUGGCGCUGAGGGGUGAAUAAACGGUCAGCCCAGGCCGGGCGGGGGCGGGCAGCGGCGGGCAGCGGCACCCGAAGGGGUCCCGGGGCGGGCACGGCGGCUGGAUGUGCGUUGGGCACUGGGACGCGCCUGACCGCCGGUGCCCGGCCGCGCCAGCCCCGCUGCUUCCCCUCAGAACUUGGAGAUCCGGCUCAAAAGAGGCGGCGGCGGGCUGCUGGCGGCGCGCGGUGAGCCCCUGCCCGCAGCCGCUCACUCCCUCGGCCGCAGUCCCGAAUCAGAAAUCCCAGAAGGAAAAAAAAAAAACAAAAAACUGCAAGGAUUUGAGUUACCAAGGCAUUGAUGAAGUUCACAAAAUCUAAACAAGGAAUUACAUGAACAACCACACAAGCUAGACUGAAUACUGUACACUCCUGAAUUAAACAUAGUGAUCUAUCCUUAUGUCUGAACAAUCCGUCCAGAUUCAGAAGAAAGGUAAUGAAGAAAAAGGCUUGGAUUCUAUCAGAACAUAUCUGUAGCUGAAAACAGAUGUCAAAGGAAAAAGAGUGGAAUGACUUUAAAGGACCACCACAAUCCUGGAAAAGGUGUUCAGAGAUAAUAUCUUCUAUUUUAAUAUUUUCUAAUCUUUCUAGUAUGCAUGUGUGUGGUUCUCUCCUGGGGUGUGACAUCCUCCAAGUUUUAUGAUCUGAUCCAAUCUACACCUAUUUAUUCCUAACAUAAAUCCUGCAGAAAUAGUUUCACAAUUUUCCUUCCAGUUGUAGUUUUAGUAAUAUUUUAAAUUACCUGUCAAUAAUACUGUAUUUUUGAGCAAUAUCAAUUAGAAUGUGCUGAGUUAUCUUUCCACUGUGAUUUCUCUGCUGCUGUUUCUAUUACACUAAUUUCAUGGACUAGAGUCUUGUAGAGGUAUAAUUUGGAAUCUGUAUAAAAUGUAUUAUGCUUUCCUAUCAAGUCAUAGACUGUAGCACUGCUUGUG